AUGUUUCGCCAUCUAGACAAAAGAUAMAACAUCACUAGGAUAAAAUCAAGAUGGCUACCUGUCAAUAUACUUUGAAUACCAUAAACACAGGCUAUGUGCAGUUGAUCGCCAAUUCUGGAUGAAAAUAGUUAAAUUGGAUGUAUUGCUGUGGGACAGUGUUAUGUCAUAACCUAAGAAUAAUAAUUUUCUCAAUUAAAUCCGUAUACGGAUGAAUUCUAGACGUUCUUUUUAUUAAAUUAUUAUAACAAAUACUAAUCAGCAUGCAGAUCUAUAUUUUUAAUUCCAAUUCAAGAACAUUAUCCUCACGAGAAGAAGAAUUCAUUACACCAUUCRAUCAAUGGAUAUAUAUUUCAUUUUCUUACGACUAACGAUUAAAAGAUUUGCAUUGAUUAUGCCAUCCGAAUAAGAGUUUUAUUCUAUAAUAUUAUGUAAAUAGAAUGUAGGUGGACUAACAAAGAAUAAUCAAGAGAAGAAUUUGUCAAAAGGAUAGGUAAAUAAUUUGACUAGAAAUGCCUACUCAUUAUUAUCAAGAUUGAUAAGAAGAAUCCAACAAUACUGCAACUAACAUUAUUAUAUUAAACACUUAUAUGUCUAUUUUGCACCCCACAAUAAUACACAUGCACAUACACAAAAAAGGAUUUCUUGUAUAAAGUGUUGUGCUGCGACUUAUCAUCGUCGACUUUAUCGACAUAUAAUUUUAUAUAAAUGAACGGGGUGAUUAAUUGGAUCAAAGAAAAUGUAAAAUCAGAAAGGAAUUUGCCUCGACUGUGUCUUUUAUGUUAGAUCAUCAUCAUCAUCAGCAGCAGCAUCAUCAUUAAUAUAUACUCUAUAUAUACACAUACAUAUUUCAAUUCUCUUGCGUGACC
This is a long non-coding RNA of Polistes dominula (European paper wasp), 866 nucleotides long. Lineage: Eukaryota; Metazoa; Arthropoda; Insecta; Hymenoptera; Vespidae. The record is from RefSeq and is a predicted model, not a curated record.